Molecule: ribosomal RNA, 654 nt
Filed under: uncultured archaeon
Lineage: Archaea
Description: bacterial SSU rRNA
Rfam family: Archaeal small subunit ribosomal RNA
Source: RNAcentral
GCCUAAAGCGUCCGUAGCCUGUUUUGUAAGUUUUCGGUUAAAUCCAUACGCUCAACGUAUGGGCUGCCGGAAAUACUGCAAAACUAGGGAGUGGGAGAGGUAGACGGUACUCGGGAGGAAGGGGUAAAAUCCUUUGAUCUCUCGAUGACCACCUGUGGCGAAGGCGGUCUACCAGAACACGUUCGACGGUGAGGGAUGAAAGCUGGGGGAGCAAACCGGAUUAGAUACCCGGGUAGUCCCAGCUGUAAACGAUGCAGACUCGGUGAUGCACUGGCUUGUGGCCAGUGCAGUGCCGCAGAGAAGUCGUUAAGUUUGCCGCCUGGGAAGUACGUACGCAAGUAUGAAACUUAAAGGAAUUGGCGGGGGAGCACCACAAGGGGUGAAGCCUGCGGUUCAAUUGGAGUCAACGCCAGAAAUCUUACCCGGAGAGACAGCAGAAUGAAGGUCAAGCUGAAGACUUUACCAGACAAGCUGAGAAGUGGUGCAUGGCCGUCGCCAGCUCGUGCCGUGAGGUGUCCUGUUAAGUCAGGUAACGAGCGAGAUCCCUGCCUCUAGUUGCCACCAUUGCUCUCAGGAGCAGUGGGGCGAAUUAGCGGGACUGCCGCAGUUAAUGCGGAGGAAGGAGGGGGCCACGGCAGGUCAGUAUGCCCCGAA